This 3292-nucleotide long non-coding RNA is filed under the name Zea mays. Its description in RNAcentral is "long non-coding RNA (ZMAY_LNC002888)". Lineage: Eukaryota; Viridiplantae; Streptophyta; Magnoliopsida; Poales; Poaceae. The record is from RNAcentral.
AGGCUUAAGAGAACUACAAUAGUACUCCCUUUGGUCGUCGAUAUUAGAUGACAGGAUUGAUAAAGUAAGUAGUAAAUUUACUGCUCUACCCCUGCUAAUUGCUGACGAGAAAGCAAUAAAUCAGUGUACCCUGUUCGUCUGACCGUUCCUCAAUUACUCUCCCUGUUCUUUGCCGUUGAAUGCUGCUUUCCACAUCGCUGUGCUUGCCAUCCACCGGCAUGGCUCCACCAGUACUGUGCCCACUGCCCAGUGACCUCAUCCACUAUUUUUUUUAGAUUAUGGAAACAAAAUGUUCUAGCCUUUUGCAAUCUCUUGCAUAUGGCCUUACAAAUCGAAAAAAAGACAACCAUCCAUCAUAAACAUACUCAGAAGGAAAACAUCAACAAAUCAAGCUCCCUCUAAUCUAGCGUUGGACCACCUCUAAAUAUCGACAUACCGCAAGGACUUCGUGUUGAGAUUGUUCUUUCUGCAACAAUCUCCAGAAUCUGAGCCAUCAUGUUGCCCUGAAAAGAACCUGCAUAAUUGAUGAUUUUGGUUUAAAAGUAAAGACAACAUCAUUGCGACAAAGUCAAAUAGACCAAAACAUUGCCGCCACUUCAAUUAGGAGUUUUUUUCUUUGUGUUGUUCCCUUGUUAGCAAUCCAGGACCCAAUUAUAUAAUUAAUAUUGUUCGAUUCUCUAUAUUUAUGGCAAAGUAAAUAAUUCUCUAAAUAUUUCUAGUAAGGUAACAAUCAAAUAACAGAUGUUGAAUAGACACAUUUUGAUUACAAAAGCUGCAUUUUAAACAACCUUUCCAACCUCGCUUAGCUAAUUUGUCUUUAGCUAAUGUCCCUGGUUCCCGGUGUUCACUUCCUCCGCUGAUAGUGUUAUGCUCAGCCAAAAGGGAUGGCAAUCGAACAUUGAUUUGAGAAAGUGAAUUGCUGAGAUCAAAUGGAUCGUGUUUGGAUGACUCUCAUGUUUCUCAUCUAAUCCAUCAGAGUACAGCAUGCUACACCACCGUUAAGAACCCCUUGACCUGCAUUGGUGCCCUCACUGAAGCUCGAACCUCCAUCAUGACUGGACCUCAGAUCUGAAAGGAGAGGAAGAAAGAUGAAUGUAUGGAGUGUGGGAUGUUCAAGAUAAGGGCUUCCACCAGUAAGCUUGCACCUGAGACGUGAACAUGACCUUGUGGGCUACAAUAUUCAGCUGUGUCUCCACAAACGGCCUCAUCCAGGCAAUCUUUGCCUGAAGCACACUGGCUGCUAGCCAACUACUGCUCAUUCCGAGCUGUACUGUACCUGAGGAUACUGUGAGGAGCAUGUUUGGAGGACAGGGACUGCCACUGCCAGCCAGGAGAUGGUGGUAUCGACGGCAUGAGACAACAUGGAACUCAUGGUGGGUGCCUCUGUUAUUGUUGCCAGGUUAUUGUUGCCAGGUUAGACCAUGUACAACCCAGAGCCCUUGGUUCAGUUUUUCAAGUAUAGGAAACAGUUAAUAGACUGCAUAAUACAAUCAAGAGCCCCUACAUCAUAAAUGUAGUGAAGAGAAUAUAUAUAGAAAGUCGUGUAGAGAAGGGCUCUUCGUGACGUCUCUUGGUUUUUUUUCACUAAACCCCCUAAUUAAUGGGGUGAGCAGGGGCAUUAGUGGAUAUGAUGCGUUUAAUUCGGCCAAUUUUUUCCAGUGACAAGUACUGUUGCACUUUUCCAGAAUCUCAGAAACAUCAGGUAUUAUUGACUGGAGGGAGUAUAUUCAAAGUUUUCAAGUUAGUGCUUCUAAAGCUUUCAGAGUAGGUAAUUUUGGACCUUUUGUCAGGAAAAGUGUGCGUCUAGACAGUUUUUGAAUUUAUGUUUACGUUGAACAUAUUUACAGGCGUCUGUAGAACUGCUUACCAGUUUACCACAUGAGUAUUAUGUUGCAAACAGCCAUUUCAUGGCUUUAUGUGGCACUUGGAAACCUUGUUGAGCUUCAAUCAGGUGGAGUAAUUUGCAACAGUAUGCACAGAGCUAGUGUUUUCAUUUGGUGGAACUUAUUUAAAGCUCAGCCUUCGUUUAUGUUAGUAAUAUCUUACUCUUUUUUUUGGGGGCAUCUUUCUUCAUCCACCGAAGUAACUUUUUUUGGCAUAAUGGUGGUGGUGGUUGUUGUGCUAUUCCAAAUAAGAAAAGUAGUUGGUAAGUAUUUAGGCCAUAAGGCCUCUUUAGAAUAUAUAGAUGUGAGAAAGAAUAAAAACACGCUGCAAAGUCAUAGCCCCAGAGGAAUGUAGUAGGAAAUGCAGAAAAAAGGUGGAGGAAUUGUGUUUGAAUUGGUAGUUGAGAAAACAUAGGAACUUAGAGGACACUGCAAUACUUUUAACCAAAUGUGAUACGUAUACAUUUUAGUCAACGUGCAACGGGAAACUGUGAAAACAAAACCUGUAAAUCUGUCUAUUUAUAUUACUUUUCUCUGUCCAUGUCUCUCUGUCCUCCUUUUUCCUCGUUUCUCUUCUUAUAUUAAGAGCACAAGCACCUGGACCAACAUUUCUCCCUACCAAACAACACAACCUGCCAACACCCAUGGGUUCCUUAUAAGCAAGACCCUUUGUCUUCACCCUUUUUUUUAAUCCUUUCUUCAAGUGUCAUACAGUGAUUUAUUUGUUUAAGUGUAGCAUCCUGUUCUAAAUACGUGAGUUGCAUCUUCUUGAGUCCAUUCUACGCUGUGGAUUCAUAUCUCAACAUCGUGUUCUUUCAUGCUUCAUUUAUGAGCAUAGAUAACAAUGCCAUGGAAGAUGUAGUUCUUGCUUGACAAUUAUUGUGAUGGUAACUUGGAUGAUGAAUAAUGUAUGUUCAAAUAGAAGUAGGCCGGUGCAUGACAAUUGAUUGAUUCCAAAGCCUAGUCACCAUCGUCUGUGGAUAAUUUGAAGAAUUAAGAGCACAUAUGUCCUCUAAAGAUCUAGUUCGGAUAUGUCAAACCAUGUGCAGCUUGCCAUCUCUGAGACAACUGCACAUAGACUAAUUAAUUAUUAUUUUUUUUCCUUCGGAAUAUCAAAAGGAAGGAAGAAAGGAACCUGCAACCAACUACGCUGAAGUGUUUGCUGCGACAGCUGAAAUUGAUAUGUAACUGACUAACUGCCAAUCCGACGAUGACCACCUUUUGUCUGAUUUUAUAAUCAAACAAAAGUUACAAUCUAUUUACCAUCAAAGAUGAAUAUGAAUUCACGCUCAGAAUGGAUACUUACUAGUUACUACCAUAAAACAGCUCGACUUUCCUCUGAGUGCAGCCAUGAAAACCACAGUAGGAAAAAUCUUCUCUAACGCCAUUGUUUCCUUACGUGCUCAGGC